UAUGUUAAGUAAAAGCUGCUCCACUUGUGCUCCUCCGAUGCAACUAACAGAACAGGUGACAUUCAACUUGAACGAACGCAUAAAACAAAAUCAUAAUAAAAUUGCAAUUCAAAUAAAAACAAAAAAAAAGAGGCUGCUUAUGCAAAUACAUACAUAUGUAUGUACAUAUGUAUGGAUUUGUGUGCCAAAAUAAAAGUUCGUCGCCAACCAAAACAAUAAUAAACAACAUGUAAAAGUCGUAUGUUUGCAACACGACUGUUUAUAUACCCUGCAGUAAUCCUAUACAACAUAAUUACAUUUUAGUUGAUCAACCUCAAUUAUCAUCUUCCUAAGUUGUAGAUGUAACUAAUGAUUCUAAACACUAUUUCAUCAUUAUGUAUUUCUGCAUGUCAUUCUGCAAAGCACUCAAAACGGGAUGCGACCUGUAAUCGAGACGACGGGAUAUUAUGGAUGUGUGCAUGCGUGUUCAUGCACGUGUGUUUAUGUAUGUAUGCAUAUGUAUUUGGGUAACUGGAAAAAGGCAAAAAGAAAGAAGCGGCAACUGCACGCGCCUCAACAUGUGGAUGCUGCUGCUGCUGCCCGUGUGGCCAGACUGUCUGCGACUGCGCUAAACUGAACGCAAGCAACAUUUUCGCUUGGACGGAAGCGGAACUAUGUAUGCAGAUUUGAAGGAAGCAGCUUCGAUAGUCGAAGAAGAAGAGGCAGAGCAAUCAAAGCCUUGCGCAUGUGUUUGUGUGUCCAUGUGUAUGUCUGAUUGUACAUACAUUCAAAUACACAUAAGGAAAAA
Molecule: long non-coding RNA, 787 nt
Organism: Drosophila sulfurigaster albostrigata
Lineage: Eukaryota; Metazoa; Arthropoda; Insecta; Diptera; Drosophilidae
Exons: 2
Source: RefSeq, a predicted model, not a curated record